This 254-nucleotide ribosomal RNA is filed under the name uncultured bacterium. RNAcentral describes it as "partial 16S ribosomal RNA". It matches the Rfam family "Bacterial small subunit ribosomal RNA", at positions 524 to 776 of the family's 1533-position model. The record is from RNAcentral.
UACGUAGGGGGCAAGCGUUGUCCGGAUUCAUUGGGCGUAAAGAGCUCGUAGGCGGUUCAGCAAGUCGGGUGUGAAACCUCCAGGCUCAACCUGGAGACGCCACCCGAUACUGCUGUGACUUGAGUCCGGUAGGGGACCACGGAAUUCCUGGUGUAGCGGUGAAAUGCGCAGAUAUCAGGAGGAACACCGGUGGCGAAGGCGGUGGUCUGGACCGGAACUGACGCUGAGGAGCGAAAGCGUGGGGAGCGAACAGG